Non-coding RNA from Vicia faba (fava bean), 351 nucleotides. The record is from the annotation of a GenBank genome assembly. NCBI's taxonomy places the organism in Eukaryota, Viridiplantae, Streptophyta, Magnoliopsida, Fabales, Fabaceae.
AUGGUGGAGCGCUCGCCGGUUGAAGCGUCGUUGCGGUCUGCUUGCAGAGGGAGGUCUGAUUAUUGCGAGUCGCGUCACGGAGGGGGGGUCGUGCGUCUGUGGAAGAUGGUCGGCCUUGAGCUGUGCGAUGUUAUGGGAGGUACGAUUGAAAGGGCUGUGCAAAGAUGUUUGCACAAUUGCAGGAGGGCGGCUGAUGUUGCAGUUCCGUGGUCAAAGUCGCUCGUCGAAGACGCACGUGGUGAGCUCAUUUCUGGGAAUCUUUUGCCGGCUUGCAAUGGUGGAAGUGUUAUGCGGAGAUAUACGAUUCAUGGAGAUAAUGCAGAGCGCAGGAUCGGAGGCCCAAGGUGUUGA